CGACGGCAGCACAGCAGAGCUUGCUCUGUGGGUGGCGAGUGGCGGACGGGUGAGUAAUGCAUCGGGACCUACCUAGACGUGGGGGAUAACGUAGGGAAACUUACGCUAAUACCGCAUACGUCCUACGGGAGAAAGCAGGGGACCUUCGGGCCUUGCGCGGUUAGACGGACCGAUGUUCGAUUAGCUUGUUGGUAAGGUAAUGGCUUACCAAGGCGACGAUCGAUAGCUGGUCUGAGAGGAUGAUCAGCCACACUGGAACUGAGACACGGUCCAGACUCCUACGGGAGGCAGCAGUGGGGAAUAUUGGACAAUGGGCGCAAGCCUGAUCCAGCAAUGCCGCGUGUGUGAAGAAGGCCUUCGGGUUGUAAAGCACUUUUAUCAGGAGCGAAAUACUACCGGCUAAUACCCGGUGGGGCUGACGGUACCUGAGGAAUAAGCACCGGCUAACUUCGUGCCAGCAGCCGCGGUAAUACGAAGGGUGCAAGCGUUAAUCGGAAUUACUGGGCGUAAAGCGUGCGUAGGCGGUUUGUUAAGUCUGCUGUGAAAUCCCCGGGCUCAACCUGGGAAUGGCAGUGGAUACUGGCAAGCUAGAGUGUGUCAGAGGAUGGUGGAAUUCCCGGUGUAGCGGUGAAAUGCGUAGAGAUCGGGAGGAACAUCAGUGGCGAAGGCGGCCAUCUGGGACAACACUGACGCUGAGGCAC
Molecule: ribosomal RNA, 701 nt
Filed under: Dyella sp. ahR15
Lineage: Bacteria; Pseudomonadati; Pseudomonadota; Gammaproteobacteria; Lysobacterales; Rhodanobacteraceae
Description: bacterial SSU rRNA
Rfam family: Bacterial small subunit ribosomal RNA
Source: RNAcentral